AUGAGAAACGAAGGAAGAUGAGAAGCAAAGGGAACCUUUCCCAGAGCAACUAGCCCCUCGCAAAGAGAGAGAGGAAGAGAGAAAGAAAGAGAAAGAAAAUAUAUAUAUAUAUAUAUAUAGAGAGAGAGAGAGAGAGACAGAGAGAAAGAGAGCGAGUGAAGGAACGAAGAAGAAGAAAAAGAGAAGUAGUUUAAUCGCACUUCUGUAAAAGGAAGAAAUAUUAAAAGCAAGAGACAAUAGAAUAAAGAGAGAAGGAAAAUAAAGAGAGAUAGUGUCGAUAGGUGGGAGGGUGUGCGCGCAUAAAAAAAAAAAAAAGCCCAAGGAAAAGAGAUUGGCAGCCAUAUUUUCCUGACGUCGUCGUUUCAUUCUAUGGCCCAUGGUGCCGUUUUUACUUGGAAUCUUUAAAGCUGCUGCUCGUCAGCGACCUCGACGAGCCAACGGAUUCGCGCCGCCGCCGUAUAGAAAUUUAAAGAGAACGGCCGAGGAUAGGAGUUAGUGUAAGAGCUCUGAGAGAUAAAGACGGACGGGCAAAGAGAGAGAAAAAGUAGUAGGAGAAGAGAAGGAUAGAAGGAGAGAUAACGAUAAGUUAUCGGACGCUAAUGAUACGGCGUGGCGGCCGUAGAGAGUGUCGAGUGUGCGUGUAAACGGUGCUAGAAGAGCGCGAGAAUCAAUGGACGUACUUUCGUCUUGUUUUUUGGAAAAGAACAAGAAAAAAGAAAGAAAUUAAAAGAAAAGACGAAGAUCAAAGUUGAAGAAUAAAAUCAUUACUAUUACGUGUUACGUUAUCUAUGAUAUUCUAACGGCUCACGAGGAGAAAGAAACGGCAAGACAGUCGCGACAUUCUUGUGAGAACAACGACGACGACGACGACGACGACGACGACGACGACGGAGAAGAGGCCUUCGAUCUUACGAAGAAUUACAUUUGAUUCUUCGUGAUUCAUAAUUCCUCGUCAUUAUCAUCGUCAUCGUCAUCAUCAUCAUCGUCAUUUUCAUUUUCUUCAUCUUCCUUCUCUUCUUCUACGUCGAUAGGCUUACCCGUGAAAACGGAAAUCUUUGGUAUAUCUCUCACAUCGCACACAGUCACGCGAUACCGCGUAUAUCAGCUCCACGAGAUGGAGAGACGAGCUGCUUUUGUGCUCCUUGGAAUGCUAUAUUUAGCGGGCACCCUCGAGUCGGUCCAGGCAGUGAUCUAUUCGGGACCGACGAUCGUACACAAGGGUCAACCUUGGAGUAUCGAAUGCAGCGGCCUCCAGCCGGACGAUAACAUUAGGUGGACCAGAAACGGUCAGACUCUCGAGCCGGAGUUGGCGAGCGGUCAAUUGAUCGUCCGUCCGAAGGCCAAGACCGGAGGAAGCGAGCUAGCAGCGAUUCAGGCCACGGAGUUCCACGAAGGCGACUACAAGUGCACGCCCGACAGCUCCGAUGCUUUUCAUCUAUCUCUAUAUUUCGACGUGAAGAUUCGAGUACUUACACAAAAGGAGACACCCCUUUCGUUGGAGUGCGGUAAUCGAAGCACCGGAGAUAAAGCAAUAUGGUAUAAGGAAAAAAUGCCGAUAUUGACGACAAUGGUUGGUAAAGAGGACCUCAUCAAGAUAGACAACGAGACUGGUACCCUGGAUGUAUUAAAGAUUGACGAUAUUAUCGUUUAUGGAAAUUAUUCUUGCAAAGUAGGAAAUACCUCGACUGACUACAGGAUCGUACCUAAACCUACUGUUGUCUUACCCGAAUCGACUAGCGUCGUCGAAGGUGAAAAAUUGCUUUUAGUAUGUAACGGUAAACACAGUCCAGGUGUCAAGAUCAUAUGGACGUUUGGAAAUCAAAAUUAUACCGCCAGCAAGGGUAGAGUAAAGAUUUCGCAAGACCAAGAGAGAGGAAUUUACGGUGCCGUAUUGACGGUAGAAAACAUCGAGAUGAACGAUCGCGGUAUUAUCCACUGCAGGGUGUCUUAUAAUUGGUCCGAUCCGGUGGAGGGUCAUUCGGCGCAAGCUGUCACUUUACUUAGGGUCAAGGACAAGCUCGCUGCACUUUGGCCUUUCCUUGGUAUCUGCGGUGAGGUCGUCGUACUUUGCGCCAUUAUUCUUGUUUAUGAAAAGAAACGAAAUAAGGCCGAACUUGACGAGUCCGAUACCGAGCAGAGUCCCGACACAGAACCAACUCGACAUCCGCCCUUUAAAUCAGCACCAUCGUGAUUAACAAGUAACCCUAAUUAUUCAUCAACCAUAUGACGAAUAUUUUAUUGGAACGACCAACCGAAAUCAACGAUCAUUUAUACGAAUAUAUCUUAUGUAUUCUUGUCUUCCUCUCGCCAUCUUUGCUCACCAAGAGGGUCGUGUGAAGGGAGCAGGGAAGAGGGAGAGGAAAAGAAUACUUUACUGUAAACCAACGCCUAACAAGGAUUCCGAUGUCAGGCAGAGAAAGUGAAGAGUCAGAAUUUAAGCGGCGGAAGAACGAGCGCGAUGCAUAUACAUAUAUACCAAGAGAAAAACAAAUUGAGAUAAGGAAAACGAAACGUGGUAUUUAAUGGAGUGACAACUUAAAACCAGCCCGGAAUACUUAGCGAAUAUGGAUCUUCAUCGAGGAAGAAAAAUAAAGAUAAAGAUUGAUAGAUAAAGAUAGAAAGAGAGAGAUAGAUAGAUAGAUAGAUAAAGAGAGAGAAAGA
Vespa velutina is the source of this 2661-nucleotide RNA transcript. It is a transcript of the gene named basigin, with no coding region annotated. The transcript has 6 exons. The record is from RefSeq and is a predicted model, not a curated record. Lineage: Eukaryota; Metazoa; Arthropoda; Insecta; Hymenoptera; Vespidae.